RNAcentral lists this ribosomal RNA (561 nucleotides) under Vibrio splendidus. RNAcentral's name for it is "bacterial SSU rRNA". It matches the Rfam family "Bacterial small subunit ribosomal RNA", at positions 1 to 541 of the family's 1533-position model. Lineage: Bacteria; Pseudomonadati; Pseudomonadota; Gammaproteobacteria; Vibrionales; Vibrionaceae. The record is from RNAcentral.
AAAUUGAAGAGUUUGAUCAUGGCUCAGAUUGAACGCUGGCGGCAGGCCUAACACAUGCAAGUCGAGCGGAAACGACACUAACAAUCCUUCGGGUGCGUUAAUGGGCGUCGAGCGGCGGACGGGUGAGUAAUGCCUAGGAAAUUGCCUUGAUGUGGGGGAUAACCAUUGGAAACGAUGGCUAAUACCGCAUAAUGCCUACGGGCCAAAGAGGGGGACCUUCGGGCCUCUCGCGUCAAGAUAUGCCUAGGUGGGAUUAGCUAGUUGGUGAGGUAAUGGCUCACCAAGGCGACGAUCCCUAGCUGGUCUGAGAGGAUGAUCAGCCACACUGGAACUGAGACACGGUCCAGACUCCUACGGGAGGCAGCAGUGGGGAAUAUUGCACAAUGGGCGAAAGCCUGAUGCAGCCAUGCCGCGUGUAUGAAGAAGGCCUUCGGGUUGUAAAGUACUUUCAGUUGUGAGGAAGGGUGUGUAGUUAAUAGCUGCGCAUCUUGACGUUAGCAACAGAAGAAGCACCGGCUAACUCCGUGCCAGCAGCCGCGGUAAUACGGAGGGUGCGAGCGU